GAUGAACGCUGGCGGCGUGCCUAAUGCAUGCAAGUCGAACGGGGAAUGAAAUUUCGGUUUUAUUCUUAGUGGCGCACGGGUGAGUAACACGUAAGCAAUCUACCCUUCAGUGGGGGAUAACUCCGAGAAAUCGGAGCUAAUACCGCAUGAUGUGUUGGGGUAAAGCCCAAACACCAAAGCCUUCGGGCGCUGAUGGAGGAGCUUGCGGCCUAUCAGGUAGUUGGUGAGGUAACGGCUCACCAAGCCUAUGACGGGUAGCUGGUUUGAGAGGAUGAUCAGCCACAUUGGGACUGAGACACGGCCCAGACUCCUACGGGUGGCAG
Molecule: ribosomal RNA, 323 nt
Filed under: uncultured Chloroflexota bacterium
Lineage: Bacteria; Bacillati; Chloroflexota
Description: bacterial SSU rRNA
Rfam family: Bacterial small subunit ribosomal RNA
Source: RNAcentral